Molecule: transfer RNA, 72 nt
Filed under: Ophiura albida
Lineage: Eukaryota; Metazoa; Echinodermata; Ophiuroidea; Amphilepidida; Ophiuridae
Also listed under: 1 other name
Description: transfer RNA-Phe
Rfam family: tRNA
About the family: Transfer RNA (tRNA) molecules are approximately 80 nucleotides in length. Their secondary structure includes four short double-helical elements and three loops (D, anti-codon, and T loops). Further hydrogen bonds mediate the characteristic L-shaped molecular structure. tRNAs have two regions of fundamental functional importance: the anti-codon, which is responsible for specific mRNA codon recognition, and the 3' end, to which the tRNAs corresponding amino acid is attached (by aminoacyl-tRNA synthetases). tRNAs cope with the degeneracy of the genetic code in two manners: having more than one tRNA (with a specific anti-codon) for a particular amino acid; and 'wobble' base-pairing, i.e. permitting non-standard base-pairing at the 3rd anti-codon position.
Source: RNAcentral
ACUAAGAUAGUUAAAUGUAAUAACAAGACUUUGAAGAAGUUUUAUUGAGGUGUUAAAUUCCUUCUCCUAGUA